CAAGAGUAGACGGAGGAGAAGUCUCAAUGAUGGCUGUACUGCAUAUCCAGUAUUUACCCCCGGACAACCCAGGGAGAGAAAGAACCUCACCAACAUGAUGGGCAUAAUUUUCCUUUUCGUUCUUCGUCGAGGAGAUCCAGAAUUUCAAAGCAGUUCAGCGAUCCAUUUUCUGUUUUACUGACUAUGUGAUGAAAAGGAAUCCUUCCACAGGAAGAAAACUAUCAUUUAUAUUUUUUCCUGAUUCUCUGGGGACUUCAGACAUGGAGUGAAAUAAAAGCUUGGAGUGAGAGAGAAUGAAGCCUUGACAGAAAGUGAAAUCCCUGUCCUGUCUGUUUACAGCAAGCCAAACUAAAAUCAAGCAAAUGGCAGUGCUUUGUAUGUG
RNAcentral lists this long non-coding RNA (382 nucleotides) under Cercocebus atys (sooty mangabey). Its description in RNAcentral is "lncRNA (ENSCATG00000045851.1)". Lineage: Eukaryota; Metazoa; Chordata; Mammalia; Primates; Cercopithecidae. The record is from RNAcentral.